CUUCUCCUUCUCCUUCUUCUUCUUCUCCUUCUUCUUCCUCCUCUUCUUCUUCUCCCCCGCGCGUCUCUCCCUGCGCCGAGCAGAGCGCGGCCUCCGCGUCCCCGGCUGAAUGGAGGGGGAGUUGUCCCCGUGCAUUACAAUGACAUUCGGGCCCCCAUUGAAUUCUGCCACUGUCUAACGGUCUUUGGACAGCAAAUGCACCCCCAUCGGGGGGUCGCAACCCCCUCGUUACACCCCCCCCACCCCCCCUCCCAUCCCAUCACGCAGCCCGCCACAAAAGCCCCAACAAAAGAGAGGAGAGUCGGCCCAGUUGUGCGAGUUGCGCCCCCUGGACUUUUUGAGUGCAGAGAGCCAGAAGGACCCUCCAGUAUUGUCCUGGGAGAGAAAGAGAAACACGUUGACAAAGGAAUCCAUUGUUCCUGGCGAACAAUUCAAGGGGCCUAGUAAGCUGUCCUCUACGAUCAGGCAGCCGGCCGCUGAUUUGAAUGCAAGGGGCCCCUCCAAGGAGAAAUGGAUUCGUCCCACUUGGUCCCCAGUAAAGAUAAAUUGGUCCACGUGUUUACAGGUGAGUUUCAUGGGAAUAAAACAUUGAUAUUUCCCCCGCGCAUGCUACCUGUUCUUAAUAAUAAUCUUAAUUUAUAUAUAUUCUUCUAUAACUAAAAUUGUUCCUGGGUUCCCACGGUCACGUUAGAAAAUAGGAUGAUAAAUAAUAAAGUUAAGGCGCAGCUAACACUUCUCCACAAAGUCACGGGUAGGAUGACUUUUAUUUUUAUUUUUAUAUCUAUUGUUUAAAAUUAGUUUUAAUCCACUGAUCCUUUUUUUUAUUCCAGUGUUUUCCAGUAAUUUAAUUUAAUUUAGUUUCGUUCUCAUCCCAGCUACUAACAAGCAAUAAAAGAUGAAUUAUUUUACACACACACACACACACAAACACACAAAUAAAUAUUCAUACAAACAUAUCCGCACAAAAGGAGACCAAAUGCAAAAGAGCAAAGGCGGCGAGUCAGAGCUGCAGAGGAAGAAUCCCAAAGAAGCGAAAUCCUGAAUGUCACUUGUCAUCAUAUCGCAGCGAGCAAAGCGGGCCAGCGUGUCAAGAGGCAGACUGUCACUGGUGUGUCUCUACACGCAUGACACACACACACACACUGUAAAAAACAAAAGCAUUAUUCCCCCAAAUCAUUUUGUACACACGGCUCAA
This is a long non-coding RNA of Gasterosteus aculeatus aculeatus (three-spined stickleback), 1195 nucleotides long. The record is from Ensembl. Lineage: Eukaryota; Metazoa; Chordata; Actinopteri; Perciformes; Gasterosteidae.